AGUCUCCGCCUCCUCCCUCUGAGUGUGUGUGUGUAACGUUAGUUGACCAAAAAAAAAAAAAAAAAACUUGCAUGAUACGACUCGACUGUGUGAAUUUUGACUGCUGAACACACUCCAUCACCUUUCCAAGGCCUGGUGUUUUUUAAAAAAAGAGCUCGGCUCUCUGCGUUAAAACAGAAUGUCCAAAGGUGAGCCAGAAGAGAUGAUAGAGAUCGAGAUCGAUGAGCGGGAGAAGCAGGCAUGCCUGGAGGAAGGCGUCGAGGAGCAGACGAUCACUGCGUCAGAUCUGAUUCAGCAAGACAUCGACAUAAAUGAGCCCAUUGGCAAUCUGAAGAAGCUCUUGGAGCCCCGUAUCCAAAUUUCACUGGAUGCGUAUGAGAUCUGCUUGCAGGACAUUCAGCUUCACCCCGAUCACAGCCUUUUCGAUCAGGGAGUAAAGACAGAUGGCACCGUGCAGCUCAGCCUGCAGAUUAUAACCAAACCAGGUGAGGAGAAGUUGAACAUUUUGGAAAUCGUGAAGCCGGUAGAAACGGUCGAGGUGGUGAUCGACCCGGAUGCGGCAGGAGAGGAGGGUACCCUGGUGGAGGAGGGUCAGCUCAUCGCCGUGGAGCGAUCCGGCUUGUCUGAUGAGACUUCAGAGCAGGUCACACGCUGGGCUGCGGCGCUCGAAGGCUACCGCAAAGAGCAGGUCCGCCUCGGCAUACCAUACGACCCCGUGCUCUGGACAGCCGAUCAGGUGAUCCACUGGGCCGUGUGGGUGAUGAAGGAGUUCAACAUCGACGAGAUGGAGAUAGGAAGCAUUCACAUCCCCGGACGAGAUCUCUGCUCAUUCAGCCAGGAAGAGUUCCUUCAGAAAGUGCCCAACGGAGAGAUCCUCUGGAGUCACCUGGAACUUCUACGCAAAUAUGUGUUGGCAAGUCAGGAUCAGUCGGGAGGAGACGCUACUGUCACCAUCGACCAACCUGUGCAGAUAAUCCCGGCUCAGGUGAGCACACCCACCGCCAUAAAGGUCUUGAAGCAGAGCCGAGGUCCCAGGACCCCUCGAAUUUCAGGAGGAGAGGAGCGCAGCUCGCCCGGCAACCGCACAGGCAACAACGGUCAGAUUCAGCUGUGGCAGUUUCUUCUGGAGCUGCUGACAGACAAAGACGCGAGAGACUGCAUCUCCUGGGUGGGUGAGGAGGGCGAGUUCAAACUCAACCAGCCGGAGCUCGUGGCGCAGAAAUGGGGCCAACGCAAGAACAAGCCAACGAUGAACUACGAGAAACUCAGCAGAGCCCUCAGGUAUUACUACGACGGGGACAUGAUCAGCAAGGUGCAGGGCAAGCGCUUCGUCUACAAGUUUGUGUGCGACCUGAGAACUCUGAUCGGCUACAGCGCCGCCGAGCUCAACAACCUGGUGACGGAGUGCGAACAGAAGAAACUGGCUCGCAUGCAGAUGCACGGCAUCGGUCAGCCCAUCACUACAGUGACCCUCGCCACCACAACGCUAGACAAAGACAGUUGAGGGGACGCCGGGCGCACGCCGUCUCUCAGAAUCGAAUCGAAUCUUUCACGACAGCUGUGUUCGGUAGGCACAGAAACACGAGGCUGAUCAUCGGCGCGGAUGAACUUUGUUAAUGUCUUUGCAGUUUGAUCAAGUUAAACAGAGGCAGACUUUUUUUUUUUUUUUUCCUUUUUAGCUUUUCUUUAACUCUAACCGAGAGGAGAAGCGUGUGCGGGAUGAGCGAGCGAAUGACGCGUGAUUGAACGCUUGAACGUGCGACUGAAAAAAAACCCAGCUAUGAACUUUGUGUAAAGUGUUCCUUGUCUGUAGUUCAGGAUAAACUUCACUGUAUAUACCGGUACUUCAUGUUUUUGAUAGACACAAGGACAAGUGUAUUUUCAUAUUUUCCAUUUAUAGAGGACCUGUUUUGUAUUUUAUUUAGUGUUCUUGUUCCCUGAACUGUUGGACCUUUUUUGUCCACUAGGGGGAAUAAAGUGGCAAGCAUUUUUCUUAACAGGUUGUGACUGAAUCAUUUCACCAGGAGAGCCAGAGACAAACAGCCAGGAGGUCGUAUGUACAUUCAAAACUUUAUUCAUGGUAUAGUGAGCGUAGAAAGCUUUUUUUUUCUUAUUCUAUGCAAAUGAUUCAUUGAACUACACACAGAGGAAGGUCACUGAAUUAAUGAGAAAUUAUAUAUAUAUAUUUUUUUAAACACUAGCCUCCAAAAGACACCCACAGUGAGCAUCCAUACAAAUUUUAAACAUUCACCUGAUUAAGAGCUUCAGUUAGUGUGUUUGAAAUGUGCAGAGAGGUGAUAUGUGUUGUAUUUCUAUGGUAUAGAUGCAUGAUAUGCAUGUCACAUUCAUGUUUUAACUUGAAGUGAUGUUAAUAACUUAAUUAAGGGAGCGAGAGAGGAGGGGAGAUGUGUCUACGCUGCUGCUGCUGCUGCUGCUGAUAAUAAUGAAGAUGCUGCUGAUGCGAGAUGCGGUCGUCCUCCCUGUGUUCUUUUUAAGACGACACGGUAACGCAGGCAAAGAAAUGAUCCAACCACAGGACGAACAGAAGCACUGUACAUGUUUACACAGGAGAUGUAGAAAAAUAGAAAUGUGAUUCGGUGAAGGAAUGUGUGUGUGUGUGUGUGUGUAC
Molecule: RNA transcript, 2629 nt
Organism: Larimichthys crocea (large yellow croaker)
Lineage: Eukaryota; Metazoa; Chordata; Actinopteri; Sciaenidae
Gene: gabpa
Gene name: GA binding protein transcription factor subunit alpha
Exons: 11
Source: RefSeq, a predicted model, not a curated record